RNAcentral lists this transfer RNA (60 nucleotides) under Dipodomys ordii (Ord's kangaroo rat). It matches the Rfam family "tRNA", at positions 7 to 64 of the family's 71-position model. From Rfam's summary of the family: Transfer RNA (tRNA) molecules are approximately 80 nucleotides in length. The record is from Rfam by way of RNAcentral. Lineage: Eukaryota; Metazoa; Chordata; Mammalia; Rodentia; Heteromyidae.
GUGACUCAGUGGUAGAGUGCUUGCCUUGCAUGCAGGAGGACCUAGGUUCGAUUCCUCAGC